AUGAUUGUGGUUCAACAGUGGACACGUGGACUGUGCGUCUCUCCCUAACUCCCAUUGUAACGUCAGGUUCUGCAGGUGUGACGUGGGCUACGGGAUCUACGGAGACGUCUGUCGCAUCCUCACAGAUUGAAGAGCUUGUAAAAUGAUUGUGGUUCAACAGUGGACACGUGGACUGUGCGUCUCUCCCUAACUACCCAUUGUAACGUCAGGUUCUGCAGGUGUGACGUGGGCUACGGGAUCUACGGAGACGUCUGUCGCAUCCUCACAGCGACAACUUCACCUUGUACAAGUCCUCAGUCGUCCAUGGCUACGCCCUCCAACAAGGGUAAUUUUACGAAUCAUGCACAGCGUUCUGCAUCGGCGACACCAAGAGUCAGUCGGCAUACUUUGACUUUGGUGGGAAGAGUGUCACUUGAAUACGAUCACUUGGUUCGACUCUGUUCCAUCUAAACGUGUUACCAACAGCCUAAAAUUUGACUUGUUCCAGCGGGAGUGCCUUUGGUGACUUAACUGAAGUUAAUUCUGAACUGACAAUUUAAUAUUCUAAACGGGAACAUUUGGGAAAGAUGUAACUUUAAAAAAAAAAAUGUUUUACAAAUGUAUUGCUCUAUUAUAAAAAAGAAUUGU
Molecule: long non-coding RNA, 627 nt
Organism: Haliotis rubra (blacklip abalone)
Lineage: Eukaryota; Metazoa; Mollusca; Gastropoda; Lepetellida; Haliotidae
Exons: 3
Source: RefSeq, a predicted model, not a curated record